This 497-nucleotide ribosomal RNA is filed under the name uncultured bacterium. Its description in RNAcentral is "partial 16S ribosomal RNA". It matches the Rfam family "Bacterial small subunit ribosomal RNA", at positions 28 to 507 of the family's 1533-position model. The record is from RNAcentral.
GAUGAACGCUGGCGGCGUGCCUAAUACAUGCAAGUCGAGCGAACGGACGAGAAGCUUGCUUCUCUGAUGUUAGCGGCGGACGGGUGAGUAACACGUGGAUAACCUACCUAUAAGACUGGGAUAACUUCGGGAAACCGGAGCUAAUACCGGAUAAUAUUUUGAACCGCAUGGUUCAAAAGUGAAAGACGGUCUUGCUGUCACUUAUAGAUGGAUCCGCGCUGCAUUAGCUAGUUGGUAAGGUAACGGCUUACCAAGGCAACGAUGCAUAGCCGACCUGAGAGAGUGAUCGGCCACACUGGAACUGAGACACGGUCCAGACUCCUACGGGAGGCAGCAGUAGGGAAUCUGCCGCAAAGGGCGAAAGCCUGACGGAGCAACGCCGCGUGAGUGAUGAAGGUCUUCGGAUCGUAAAACUCUGUUAUUAGGGAAGAACAUAUGUGUAAGUAACUGUGCACAUCUUGACGGUACCUAAUCAGAAAGCCACGGCUAACUACGUG